AAAAAGGUUUUACUUAAAACCACCUCUAUGCCACAUCGAGAAAAAA
Cyphomyrmex costatus is the source of this 46-nucleotide non-coding RNA. Lineage: Eukaryota; Metazoa; Arthropoda; Insecta; Hymenoptera; Formicidae. The record is from Rfam.